GAGCUUGCUCUUCUGGAUGAGUUGCGAACGGGUGAGUAACGCGUAGGUAACCUGCCUGGUAGCGGGGGAUAACUAUUGGAAACGAUAGCUAAUACCGCAUGACAACAGUUAUUGCAUGAUAACUGUUUAAAAGGGGCAAUUGCUCCACUACCAGAUGGACCUGCGUUGUAUUAGCUAGUUGGUGAGGUAACGGCUCACCAAGGCGACGAUACAUAGCCGACCUGAGAGGGUGAUCGGCCACACUGGGACUGAGACACGGCCCAGACUCCUACGGGAGGCAGCAGUAGGGAAUCUUCGGCAAUGGACGGAAGUCUGACCGAGCAACGCCGCGUGAGUGAAGAAGGUUUUCGGAUCGUAAAGCUCUGUUGUAAGAGAAGAACGAGUGUGAGAGUGGAAAGUUCACACUGUGACGGUAUCUUACCAGAAAGGGACGGCUAACUACGUGCCAGCAGCCGCGGUAAUACGUAGGUCCCGAGCGUUAUCCGGAUUUAUUGGGCGUAAAGCGAGCGCAGGCGGUUAGAUAAGUCUGAAGUUAAAGGCUGUGGCUUAACCAUAGUACGCUUUGGAAACUGUUUAACUUG
Molecule: ribosomal RNA, 581 nt
Filed under: uncultured Streptococcus sp.
Lineage: Bacteria; Bacillati; Bacillota; Bacilli; Lactobacillales; Streptococcaceae
Description: bacterial SSU rRNA
Rfam family: Bacterial small subunit ribosomal RNA
Source: RNAcentral